UGGGGAAUAUUGGACAAUGGGCGCAAGCCUGAUCCAGCCAUGCCGCGUGAGUGAAGAAGGCCUUCGGGUUGUAAAGCUCUUUUGGCGGGGACGAUAAUGACGGUACCCGCAGAAUAAGCUCCGGCUAACUUCGUGCCAGCAGCCGCGGUAAUACGAAGGGAGCUAGCGUUGUUCGGAAUCACUGGGCGUAAAGCGCACGUAGGCGGAUUUGUUAGUCGAGGGUGAAAUCCUGAGGCUCAACCUCAGAACUGCCUUCGAUACUGCAAGUCUUGAGUCCGGGAGAGGUGAGUGGAAUUCCUAGUGUAGAGGUGAAAUUCGUAGAUAUUCGGAAGAACACCAGUGGCGAAGGCGGCUCACUGGACGCGUAUUGACGCUGAGGUACGAAAGCGUGGGGAGCAAACAGGAUUAGAUACCCCCGUAGUCCCUGAGCGGGCUGGCAAGGCGCAU
This 447-nucleotide ribosomal RNA is filed under the name uncultured bacterium. RNAcentral's name for it is "bacterial SSU rRNA". It matches the Rfam family "Bacterial small subunit ribosomal RNA", at positions 355 to 825 of the family's 1533-position model. The record is from RNAcentral.